UGACUAAUAUAGUCUGGGAGUGAACUAGAAAUGCAUUUGGAAGUUUCUACCAUAUGACAGGAGGAAAGGUCAGGUGAAAAGAAAUAACAAGGCCAUGUUUUCUCUAAAAAUUAAAAUGGGAUGAAUGGCUUGCAUUAACAUUUUUCAGUUUACACUUUAAAUAACUUUAUGAAUAUGUAAGUGAUUUAAAAUUGAAUGAAUUUUCUUUUGAUAAAAAAUGUUUCUUCUUAGCCUAGAUAUUCAAGUAACACUGGAAGCAUCUAUCAAUGAAGAUAUAGAAACAGAAUCUUGACUGGGGCAGGAAGUUGAACAUGAUGAUUACCAAGAUCUCUUACAAUCUAACACACCUCUAAUAUCUAAAAUUUGAACUCUUGCCUGGUUACAGAUAUGAAGUUUUCAUAUACGUUUGUUCUAUAUGAUACCUCCAAAAAAAUUAAGGAGUGCCAGCUCCAAGGGAGAUGAGGGAGUCCUGUGGGUGAUCAUGUUGACAGAAGGACUAACAGACCUGGCAGAGGUGAAAGCAGUGGUGAGAGGAAUUAGCACGCAAUGA
Molecule: long non-coding RNA, 550 nt
Filed under: Macaca mulatta (Rhesus monkey)
Lineage: Eukaryota; Metazoa; Chordata; Mammalia; Primates; Cercopithecidae
Description: lncRNA (ENSMMUG00000052678.1)
Source: RNAcentral